GACGAACGCUGGCGGCGUGCCUAAUACAUGCAAGUUGUGCGCUGAAGGUUGGUACUUGUCCCAACUGGCUGAGCAGCGAACGGGUGAGUAACGCGUGGGGAAUCUGCCUUUGAGCGGGGGACAACAUUUGGAAACGAAUGCUAAUACCGCAUAAAAACUUUAAACACAAGUUUUAAGUUUGAAAGAUGCAAUUGCAUCACUCAAAGAUGAUCCCGCGUUGUAUUAGCUAGUUGGUGAGGUAAAGGCUCACCAAGGCGAUGAUACAUAGCCGACCUGAGAGGGUGAUCGGCCACAUUGGGACUGAGACACGGCCCAAACUCCUACGGGAGGCAGCAGUAGGGAAUCUUCGGCAAUGGACGAAAGUCUGACCGAGCAACGCCGCGUGAGUGAAGAAGGGUUUCGGAUCGUAAAACUCUGUUGGUAGAGAAGAACGUUGGUGAGAGUGGAAAGCUCAUCAAGUGACGGUAACUACCCAGAAAGGGACGGCUAACUACGUG
This 497-nucleotide ribosomal RNA is filed under the name uncultured bacterium. Its description in RNAcentral is "partial 16S ribosomal RNA". It matches the Rfam family "Bacterial small subunit ribosomal RNA", at positions 28 to 507 of the family's 1533-position model. The record is from RNAcentral.